RNAcentral lists this transfer RNA (72 nucleotides) under Hippocampus bargibanti (pygmy seahorse). RNAcentral's name for it is "tRNA-Thr". It matches the Rfam family "tRNA". Rfam says of the family: Transfer RNA (tRNA) molecules are approximately 80 nucleotides in length. Their secondary structure includes four short double-helical elements and three loops (D, anti-codon, and T loops). Lineage: Eukaryota; Metazoa; Chordata; Actinopteri; Syngnathiformes; Syngnathidae. The record is from RNAcentral.
GCAUUAGUAGCUCAAUAUAAGAGCGUCAGUUUUGUAAACUGGAGGUUGAAGGUUUAAACCCUUCCCAGUGCU